Molecule: long non-coding RNA, 1547 nt
Organism: Oreochromis niloticus (Nile tilapia)
Lineage: Eukaryota; Metazoa; Chordata; Actinopteri; Cichliformes; Cichlidae
Exons: 4
Source: RefSeq, a predicted model, not a curated record
CCAGCUGUAACGGCGUUUAAAACGGCGUUUUAUUGAAAUUAUGCAGGGCACUCCCCAUGGUUCCCUCAUCCAAUUACUUUCAACUCAUUUCACCCAAUCAAAGAAGAGGAAGUGCAGACCACACUAAUGCAUCACCGAUUCACCUUGCUGCUAAGUGAUUGCCUAUUCAGUACCAGUGCUUGUUACCCACUAUGCAUUUUGAUGUGUUUAAAGCAUGAUGAAACAAGCAAACGACGGAAUGCUUUUUCUGUAACAAGACCUUAACUUUGUGGCGCAUGGGUCGCUUGUUUACUUGAGGGAUCAGCUAUUAGCGCUGCGCUACCGCAGUGUAGCAUUAUGAUGCUAACGGAGUCCUGGCUAACACCGCAAACUCCGGACAUGAGUGUGGAGCUGCCGGUUUCCAGAUGCUGCGGGCGGACAGGACGAGAGACAGCGGUGAGAGGAAAGGAGGGGGGCUGGCAGUGUUUGUUAAAGACAGUUGUGGGACCCCUGGGCACAUUGCUGUCAAAGAACAACUCUGCAACAACACAGACAUUGAGCUAUUAGCCAUUAGCAUCCGUGGAGGCAGCCUGUGACUCUCUGUGGUCCGCAGACUGCAAACGCAAUCUCCAAGAGCUCUUCUUCUAAUAUCAGGGGACUUUCAUCAUGUCUCGCUGGACUCCACACUGCCCACCUUCAACCAGUAUGUGACCUGCCCCAUCGUAGUCAAUAAAACAUUGUACUUAAUGUAUGCCAAUGAAAAAGUGGCAUACAGUUCAUCACCUCCCUGCCCAGGGAAGAUCUGAUCGUAACCUAGUGUGCCUUGUCCCUGUGUGCAGCACUUAGUGUGCACGGAGCCACUAAUCACCCACGCAGUGCAGAGAUGCUUCGCGGAGGGCAUAAUCAAGCAAAUAAAUGACAGAAUGCUUUUUAUUUCAUGUCGACGUGCAAUUUAUGUAUAGUUGACCGGGAAAUUAAAGCAGCGAUCACUUGGACUAUUCCGUAGCACCCCUUUCACAGUGGUACAUCCCUCCAGGUAACCAUUCACCAGUCUUGUACAGUAGAGCGGGACAUUACGUUUACUCUCAGCGGAAUUCACCCGAGAAGGCAUCAGUUCCUGCACUGCACUGGUCUUCACCACGAUUAGUAUAAGUGGCUUCAAGUGUAGGCGUAGCCUCUACAGGUACUGCAACAGAGGGAGAGCAGAGUCAGGAGGGUCUUGGAAGAAGCAAAUGGAGAUCCGUGUCCAGGGGAGUGAGGCUAUUGCGAGUGUGAAAGGUUGUCCAGGAAGUAACUAAGAAGACAUGAACAGAGAGGUGGUGAUCCUCGGUGGAGUGAUGAAGUAGAGCAGCCAGCACCCCAAGUAGAGCAGGCACUGUGGAAAAAUAGUUGUGACUCAACCAGACCAUUACAAAGUAUGGCCUGGAGGAUUUUCAUCUCAAGGUGCAAGAACAUUCUUAAUGACUGUACACGGCAGCUGCUGAUGGACGAUGUUGGGCCAGAUGUGCUACAGUUAGCGUUAAGGAGGUUGGAGACAAUGCAGAGAAGCCUUCAGUGGGCAAGAGGAA